This 65-nucleotide transfer RNA is filed under the name Stylochoplana maculata. RNAcentral describes it as "tRNA-Thr". Lineage: Eukaryota; Metazoa; Platyhelminthes; Polycladida; Leptoplanidae. The record is from RNAcentral.
UGCUUUAAAGUCAAAUAGCGACGUAAGUUUUGUAAUCUUAAGAUUGAAUUUAAAUUCUGAAGCAA